This is a long non-coding RNA of Stylophora pistillata, 414 nucleotides long. The record is from RefSeq and is a predicted model, not a curated record. NCBI's taxonomy places the organism in Eukaryota, Metazoa, Cnidaria, Anthozoa, Scleractinia, Pocilloporidae.
UUACGAUGAGUUCUUGUUUAACGCAGAAAGAAUGAAUUGAACUCAAACAAGUCACCCCUAAAAUGGUUAGGCUCAGGAACAAACUUGAAAGCUCAGCCAGUAUGUCCGAUCCGGCUCCUCAACCACAGGAACUUCCUCAAGCGCUGCGGCCGCCUCAAGACGCCGUCGUGCAAAACAUUGCUGCUCCCGAAACAAGCUCAGGAUACCCCUAACCAGCUCAGGACACACCUAAAUGGUCAUAGAACUCGAAAGAGGCGUUCAAGAUUAACAUCAUCAGUGGAGUACAUGACAUCUGGUGCGAAGAGUUCAUAGGGCGUUGUCACCUUUUUGAGUAACUUGCACCGUGUUUCUCCAUGUGUAAGGUCAUCAAAUGCCAUGAAUAUUAGAUUUAAUCUUGGUUCCUUCAGCCCCUUU